GGUUCGAUCAUGGCUCAGAUUGAACGCUGGCGGGAUGCUUUACACAUGCAAGUCGGAACGGCAGCACGGACUUCGGUCUGGUGGCGAGUGGCGAACGGGUGGGUAAUGUAUCGGAACGUGCCCUAGUAGCGGGGGAUAACUACGCGAAAGCGUAGCUAAUACCACAUACGCCCUUCGAGGAAAGCAGGGGACCUUUGGGCCUCGCACUGAUAGAGCGGCCGAUAUCGGAUUAGCUAGUUGGUGGGGUAACGGCUUGUCGCAAGGCGACGAUCCGUAGCUGGUUUGAGAGGACGACCAGCCACACUGGGACUGAGACACGGCAGACUCCUACGGGAGGCAGCAGUGGGGAAUUUUGGACAAUGGGGGAAACCUGAUCCAGCCAUCCCGCGUGUGCGAUGAAGGCCUUCGGGUUGUAAAAGCACUUUGGCAGGAAAGAAACGGCACGGGAUAAUGCCCCGUGCAACUGACUGUACCUGCAGAAUAAGCACCGGCUAACUACGUGCCAGCAGCCGCGGUAAUACGUAGGGUGCAAGCGUUAAUCGGAAUUACUGGGCGUAAAGCGUGCGCAGGCGGUUCGGAAGAAGAUGUGAAAUCCCCAGAGCUUAACUUUGGAACUGCAUUUUUAACUACCGAGCUAGAGUGUGUCAGAGGAGGUGGAAUUCCGCGUGUAGCAGUGAAAUGCGUAGAUAUGCGGAGGAACACCGAUGGCGAAGGCAGCCUCCUGGGAUAACACUGACGCUCAUGCACGAAAAGCGUGGGGAGCAAACAGGAUUAGAUACCCUGGUAGUCCACGCCUAAACGAUGUCAACUAGCUGUUGGGGCCUUCGGGCCUUGGUAGCGCAGCUAACGCGUGAAGUUGACCGCCGCACAAGGAGUACGGUCGCAAGAUUAAAACUCAAAGGAAUUGACGGGGACCCGCACAAGCCGGUGGAUGAUGUAGUUAAUUCGAUGCAACGCGAAAAACCUUACCUACCCUUGACAUGUCUGGAAUCCCGAAGAGAUUUGGGAGUGCUCGCAAGAGAACCGGAACACAGGUGCUGCAUGGCUGUCGUCAGCUCGUGUCGUGAGAUGUUGGGUUAAGUCCGCAACGAGCGCAACCCUUGUCAUUGAGAUUUGCUACGAAAGGGCACUCUAAUGAGACUGCCGGUGACAAACCGGAGGAAGGUGGGGAUGACGUCAAGUCCUCAUGGCCCUUAUGGGUAGGGGCUUCACGUCAUACAAUGGUCGGGACAGAGGGUCGCCAACCCGCGAGGGGAGCCAAUCCGGCCCGAUCGUGGUCCCGGAUCGCAGUCUGUGACUGCGUGAAGUCGGAAUCGCUAGUAAUCGCGGAUCAGCAUGUCGCGGUGAAUACGUUCCCGGGUCUUGUACACACACCGCCCGUCACACCAUGGAGUGGGUUUUACCAGAAGUAGUUAGCCUAACCGUAGAGGAGGGCGAUUACCACGGUAGGAUUCAUGACUGGGGUGAAGUCGUAACAAGGUAA
RNAcentral lists this ribosomal RNA (1483 nucleotides) under uncultured Bordetella sp. RNAcentral's name for it is "partial 16S-23S ribosomal RNA intergenic spacer". It matches the Rfam family "Bacterial small subunit ribosomal RNA". Lineage: Bacteria; Pseudomonadati; Pseudomonadota; Betaproteobacteria; Burkholderiales; Alcaligenaceae. The record is from RNAcentral.